UUGGCCACAACUUUAUUCAAAGUACAAAAAUGUGAGUGGUUGCUUAGGCAUUGGUUAUGACUAUCUGUCCUCGCCCCAGGGACAGAGCUGACUUCCGGAUUCCAGUGGAAGCCAGCGUGGGAAACAAGUAUUGGGUGAGAAAAUGAAGCUGGGCAUCAGUCUCACACUUCUCACCCUCAUGUUCCGGUGGGGCUUGCACGGCCCAAGUCCGAUACCAGGGACAAGGACGAAAGAAUGGCAAGCCCCUGGAUUCCUUUAACGGAAUUCCCAUUUCCGCACCACCAUUGGAGGGGUAGGCACUUACCCCUCCACCAACCAAAUUAACCAAUGCCUAACCGCCAACCUUACAAGUUGUGACGAUUUGCUACGCAGUAGGCAAAAACCAAAUGGCACCAGCCAAUCAGCCAAAUGGCAAAAUUCCUACCAGGCCCCCGCACCAAGGCGGACGACCCCAUGACAGGCAUAGCAAGGUCAAGAUCCAAAAAAACCCCUCUUAUUAAAGGGAGGGUGGGCGGGUGAAUCAGUGCAAAAGGCCAAGAGGACGCCCAGUGUUGGACGUCCUGUAUUUAAAGCCUCUGACCCCACCUCCGAAAUGGCAACAUUCAAAACUCCCCAGUAACCCAAAUUAACCACUUAAAGGCUUGGGUUCCUCACCAAAUCUGCCCAGUAACAGCAGGGUGGCUUGUUCCCCCAACCGCAACACGUGCUCUCUUUUAUGGAGAACACGCUUUGCGUGUUGAGUCCCACAAUGCCACCCCCCAAAGAAUUCACACUUCACACAUCAAUUUUUGUUUAAGGUUUUUGGCAUAAUUUUUUGGCCACAACUUUAUUCAAAGUACAAAAAUGUGAGUGGUUGCUUAGGCAUUGGUUAUGACUAUCUGUCCUCGCCCCAGGGACAGAGCUGACUUCCGGAUUCCAGCGGAAGCCAGCGUGGGAAACAAGUAUUGGGUGAGAAAAUGAAGCUGGGCAUCAGUCUCACACUUCUCACCCUCAUGUUCCGGUGGGGCUUGCACGGCCCAAGUCCGAUACCAGGGACAAGGACGAAAGAAUGGCAAGCCCCUGGAUUCCUUUAACGGAAUUCCCAUUUCCGCACCACCAUUGGAGGGGUAGGCACUUACCCCUCCACCAACCAAAUUAACCAAUGCCUAACCGCCAUGGAGCCCUUAGCUCACCGCCAAACCACUCACAGACCCAGCCAAGCCCUCAGCUUAGCUACCACCGCACCUAGCCAAGCCUCAUUCCCUAGGGCCGAAAGGUGCACCCCAUCGUCUCUGAAAAAGGAUUCAUUCUGAGCGAGAAUCUCAGGAUGUGAGAUUACAUCGCCACCCAACUCGAAAACCUUUUUCGACACCGCAGAAUUGAUACGCUUUCUGGC
This is a non-coding RNA of Podarcis lilfordi (Lilford's wall lizard), 1375 nucleotides long. Lineage: Eukaryota; Metazoa; Chordata; Lepidosauria; Squamata; Lacertidae. The record is from the annotation of a GenBank genome assembly.